RNAcentral lists this ribosomal RNA (349 nucleotides) under uncultured bacterium. RNAcentral describes it as "bacterial SSU rRNA". It matches the Rfam family "Bacterial small subunit ribosomal RNA", at positions 8 to 350 of the family's 1533-position model. The record is from RNAcentral.
AGAGUUUGAUCAUGGCUCAGGAUGAACGCUAGCUACAGGCUUAACACAUGCAAGUCGAGGGGAAACGACAUCGAAAGCUUGCUUUUGAUAGGCGUCGACCGGCGCACGGGUGAGUAACGCGUAUCCAACCUGCCCAUCACUUGGGGAUAACCUUGCGAAAGUAAGACUAAUACCCAAUGACGUCUCUAGAAGACAUCUGAAAGAGAUUAAAGAUUUAUCGGUGAUGGAUGGGGAUGCGUCUGAUUAGCUUGUGGCGGGGUAACGCCACAAGGCGACGAUCAGUAGGGGUUCUGAGAGGAAGGUCCCCCANAUUGGAACUGAGACACGGUCCAAACUCCUACGGGAGGCA